GGAAUAUUGCACAAUGGGCGAAAGCCUGAUGCAGCAACGCCGCGUGAGGGAUGACGGCCUUCGGGUUGUAAACCUCUUUUAGUAGGGAAGAAGCGAAAGUGACGGUACCUGCAGAAAAAGCACCGGCUAACUACGUGCCAGCAGCCGCGGUAAUACGUAGGGUGCAAGCGUUGUCCGGAAUUAUUGGGCGUAAAGAGCUCGUAGGCGGUUUGUCGCGUCUGCUGUGAAAUCCCGAGGCUCAACCUCGGGCUUGCAGUGGGUACGGGCAGACUAGAGUGCGGUAGGGGAGAUUGGAAUUCCUGGUGUAGCGGUGGAAUGCGCAGAUAUCAGGAGGAACACCGAUGGCGAAGGCAGAUCUCUGGGCCGUAACUGACGCUGAGGAGCGAAAGCAUGGGGAGCGAACAGGAUUAGAUACCCGAG
Molecule: ribosomal RNA, 420 nt
Filed under: uncultured Curtobacterium sp.
Lineage: Bacteria; Bacillati; Actinomycetota; Actinomycetes; Micrococcales; Microbacteriaceae
Description: bacterial SSU rRNA
Rfam family: Bacterial small subunit ribosomal RNA
Source: RNAcentral